ACGCUCGACACCUACGGGAGGCAGCAGUUGGGAAUAUUGGACAAUGGGAGGAAACUCUGAUCCAGUGACGCCGCGUGAAGGAAGAAGGUCUUCGGAUUGUAAACUUAUUUUGUCAGGGAAGAAAAAUGACUGUACCUGAAGAAAAAGCACCGGCUAACUACGUACCAGCAGCCGCGGUAAUCUGAGCGGGCUGGCAAGGC
RNAcentral lists this ribosomal RNA (200 nucleotides) under uncultured bacterium. RNAcentral describes it as "partial 16S ribosomal RNA". It matches the Rfam family "Bacterial small subunit ribosomal RNA", at positions 328 to 539 of the family's 1533-position model. The record is from RNAcentral.